RNAcentral lists this unclassified non-coding RNA (292 nucleotides) under uncultured fungus. Its description in RNAcentral is "sequence contains ITS1". The record is from RNAcentral. Lineage: Eukaryota; Fungi.
GGACUACAGGGGUUUCUAAUCCUGUUUGCUCCCCACGCUUUCGCACCUCAGCGUCAAUACCAGUCCAGUGAGCCGCCUUCGCCACUGGUGUUCUUCCGAAUAUCUACGAAUUUCACCUCUACACUCGGAAUUCCACUCACCUCUCCUGGAUUCAAGCGAUGCAGUCUUAAAGGCAAUUCUGGAGUUGAGCUCCAGGCUUUCACCUCUAACUUACAAAGCCGCCUACGUGCGCUUUACGCCCAGUAAUUCCGAAUAACGCUAGCUCCCUCCGUAUUACCGCGGCUGCUGGCAC